GUGACGAAUCUCGUAUGUUGUCUGACCUUAUUGGAUUGGUCGGGCCUCGAAGAGGUUCCAGGAAAUAGCCUCCACAUUAGACCGUACCCGAAACCGACACAGGUGGACUGGUAGAGUAUACCAAGGCGCUUGAGAGAACUAUGUUGAAGGAACUCGGCAAUUUACCUCUGUAACUUCGGGAUAAGGGGGCCCUCUAUGUACGCAAGUGCAUAGGGGGGGCACAGACCAG
RNAcentral lists this ribosomal RNA (229 nucleotides) under Escherichia coli. RNAcentral's name for it is "partial 23S ribosomal RNA". It matches the Rfam family "Bacterial large subunit ribosomal RNA", at positions 1553 to 1789 of the family's 2925-position model. Lineage: Bacteria; Pseudomonadati; Pseudomonadota; Gammaproteobacteria; Enterobacterales; Enterobacteriaceae. The record is from RNAcentral.